RNAcentral lists this ribosomal RNA (253 nucleotides) under uncultured bacterium. RNAcentral describes it as "partial 16S ribosomal RNA". It matches the Rfam family "Bacterial small subunit ribosomal RNA", at positions 524 to 776 of the family's 1533-position model. The record is from RNAcentral.
GACAGAGGUCCCGAGCGUUAGGCGGAAUCACUGGGCUUAAAGCGUGUGUAGGCGGAUUUGUAAGUACCUUGUGAAAUCCCACGGCUUAACCGUGGAACUGCUUGGUAUACUGCUUAUCUUGAGCCACUUAGGGGCAACCGGAACAAACGGUGGAGCGGUGAAAUGCGUAGAUAUUGGGAGGAACACCAGUGGCGAAGGCGGCUCACUGGACCGGUACUGACGCUGAUGCGCGAAAGCGUGGGGAGCAAACGGG